This 675-nucleotide ribosomal RNA is filed under the name uncultured bacterium. RNAcentral's name for it is "partial 16S ribosomal RNA". The record is from RNAcentral.
CGGCUACCUUGUUACGACUUCACCCCAAUCACCAACCCCACCCUCGACGCUUGCCUCCCCGAAGGGUUAGCCCAGCGGCUUCAGGUGUUGCCGACUUUCGUGGUGUGACGGGCGGUGUGUACAAGACCCGGGAACGUAUUCACCGUGCUGUGCUGACGCACGGUUACUAGCAACUCCCUCUUCAUGCAGGCGGGUUGCAGCCUACAAUCUGAACUGAGAUCGGGUUUGCUGGAUUGGCUCCCCCUCGCGGGUUGGCGUCCUUUUGUCCCGACCAUUGUAGCGUGUGUGUCGCCCAGGAUGUAAGGGCCGUGCUGACUUGACGUCAUCCCCGCCUUCCUCCACGUUGAUCGUGGCAGUCUCGUCGGACACCUGUAACCGACGAUGAGGGUUGCGCUCGUUGCGGGACUUAACCCAACAUCUCACGACACGAGCUGACGACAGCCAUGCAGCACCUGUGCCACCGUCCCUUGCGGGUACUCGUGUUUCCACGAGGUGCAAUGGCAUGUCAAACCCUGGUAAGGUUCUUCGCGUUGCAUCGAAUUAAACCACACGCUCCGCUGCUUGUGCGGGUCCCCGUCAAUUCCUUUGAGUUUUAAUCUUGCGACCGUACUCCCCAGGCGGACCACUCAAAGCGUUGGCGCCGGCACGGAAGGGGUCGAUACCUCCCACACCUGG